Molecule: ribosomal RNA, 770 nt
Filed under: uncultured bacterium
Lineage: Bacteria
Description: bacterial SSU rRNA
Rfam family: Bacterial small subunit ribosomal RNA
Source: RNAcentral
AGAGUUUGAUCAUGGCUCAGGACGAACGCUGGCGGCGUGCUUAACACAUGCAAGUCGAGCGGAAAGGCCCUUCGGGGUACUCGAGCGGCGAACGGGUGAGUAACACGUGAGCAACCUGCCCCUAGCUCUGGGAUAGCUCCGGGAAACCGGGAUUAAUACCAGAUACGACCACUUUAGACAUCUUUUGUGGUGGAAAGGAUUCCGGCUGGGGAUGGGCUCGCGGCCUAUCAGCUUGUUGGUGGGGUAACGGCCUACCAAGGCGACGACGGGUAGCCGGCCUGAGAGGGCGACCGGCCACACUGGGACUGAGACACGGCCCAGACUCCUACGGGAGGCAGCAGUGGGGAAUAUUGCGCAAUGGGCGAAAGCCUGACGCAGCGACGCCGCGUGGGGGAUGAAGGCCUUCGGGUUGUAAACCCCUUUCCGCAGGGACGAAGCGAGAGUGACGGUACCUGCAGAAGAAGCGCCGGCUAACUACGUGCCAGCAGCCGCGGUAAUACGUAGGGCGCAAGCGUUGUCCGGAAUUAUUGGGCGUAAAGAGCUCGUAGGCGGUCAGUUGCGUCCGCUGUGAAAACUCGGGGCUUAACCCCGAGCCUGCAGUGGAUACGGGCAGACUAGAGGUAGGUAGGGGAGAAUGGAAUUCCCGGUGUAGCCGUGAAAUGCGCAGAUAUCGGGAGGAACACCGGUGGCGAAGGCGGUUCUCUGGGCCUUACCUGACGCUGAGGAGCGAAAGCGUGGGGAGCGAACAGGAUUAGAUACCCCUGUAGUCC